CGGUGGGGUCGGGGUGAUCCCGGCGCGUCUGUCCGGGCUCCGGCCACGCCUCGGGGCGGCCUCGGGGGCUGAGCGGGGACAGCGGGGGGGGUUGAGGUGUCCUCAGCGCCCCGAGCCUCCGGCAGGCUCUUGCUCAGCGCGUGGGAAGCGGGGGAUCGCUGCACCCCCCCCGCCCUGAGCCGCUCUGGGUGGUGAGGGACUCCGAGUGCCUGUCACUGGAGAGCGGGAAUGUUAAGCAAAAAAAACCCCGAAAAAAUCCUAACAUAGGGCAUACCCGACGCACGCUGGCCCUCUGGUAGAAACCGCGUGUGCCCAUCAUCAGUUUGAGGACUUCAGAGCACGCUUGCAGUGUGCGGUGCAUGAGGAAAAGAGAAAGAAUCAGCAGUCAUUUGAAAGUUACCUGUUUUUCGAAAUAAAUUGAAAUAAAAAAUCCCUGUUAUUAGUGUAUGAAAGAAGCAGAUUGUGCCUAGAAUAAAGAAGAAGGCAAUCUGGACUGCCAUUCUGGUAACUGUGAUAACAAGUAACUUUUGAUACAAACUGAAUUUCAAUCAUUCUAUUGAAGUAUGAUUGUAAUGGAUUUGUGUAGAUAUACAGAGAUCCAGAUUUAAGUUAUAUGUUCAGCCAUCUUUAACCUAAAGGAUUUAAUCCUAUCAGAGAGCAGUCUUUAGCGUCUGUCUCCAUGGUCUGUACUGAGCUGAGAGAAGAUAAAACUUGAAGGUAGUGUCCAUGGAUGUCAAGGAGGUAACACAGUUGUAUCUUUAACAAUUUUGACUCAACGUAUGACCUACCGCUAGAUGUCUGCAGCACUUCUACGUGUAAAUUCUCUUUCAUGCCUGGUACAUCUUCAAAAA
Molecule: long non-coding RNA, 851 nt
Organism: Empidonax traillii (willow flycatcher)
Lineage: Eukaryota; Metazoa; Chordata; Aves; Passeriformes; Tyrannidae
Exons: 3
Source: RefSeq, a predicted model, not a curated record